UCCCGGCAGCAGGGCACUUGCCCCCCGCCCUGCAGCGCGCACAGCCCCGAUUGAGCCUGUGAUUCAGCGGCUGCCUCAGUUGACACCUGCUGCCACAUCCCCCACCCAGCCCUGUGGAAUCACCUGGGCGCAGCCCUCCGCCCUGACCGACCCCAGGGGCAGCUGCGUGGGCGGAAGUUUCCACCUGAGCUGUCCCGCCCACACCUCCAACCUGUGGCCGUUGACUUUGAGGAAACUCACGCAAGGUGCCGGGACACCCCACAGCCCGAACCCCGAGGAGACCAAGAGAAAAAAGCACAGAUGUGGAGGAGAAGCGGCCGAGCAGCGUGCAGGCCGGCUCCGUCGCCGGGCCGCGGGCCGCCAGCUGCAGCGGGACUUCCCUCCCAGGCCCUGCCCGUCUGUAAAGUGCAUCAUGAGGCAUCUACGUUUUUGACUUCAACCUGAAGGGGUGGGGGCGGCUUCCUCGUCUCGUCCCACUCUCAACCAUCUGGAGUGACUGCUACAUAUUGGAGCUUGGGAAGUGGGCGGGGAAGGACCCAGCUCAGGCCGAGGACGGGAGCCGCGACGACGGGAGGAAGAGGCGGGGAACAGGGAGGCAGGAGCCAAGUCCACGGAGAGUUUGGAAAACCAUGGUAAGAAUGGAAAUUAAAAAAAAUACAAACAA
Canis lupus familiaris (dog) is the source of this 664-nucleotide long non-coding RNA. RefSeq lists it as uncharacterized. The record is from RefSeq and is a predicted model, not a curated record. Lineage: Eukaryota; Metazoa; Chordata; Mammalia; Carnivora; Canidae. The transcript has 3 exons.